GCUGAUUAUAAGGAAAAAAGGGAUUUUUAAGGAGGCGCGGUUUCAGGGCUUGGCGCCUGCCUGACACCUUCCAAGUCUCACGCAGGCCUCCUCGCCUCAAUUUGUCAUUCUGGCGUAAAGGAAAAAUCAGGCAUUUCGACGCCUUCAUGC
This is a non-coding RNA of Caenorhabditis elegans, 150 nucleotides long. The record is from Ensembl. Lineage: Eukaryota; Metazoa; Nematoda; Chromadorea; Rhabditida; Rhabditidae.